Molecule: non-coding RNA, 89 nt
Filed under: uncultured Ruminococcus sp.
Lineage: Bacteria; Bacillati; Bacillota; Clostridia; Eubacteriales; Oscillospiraceae
Description: TPP riboswitch (THI element)
Rfam family: TPP riboswitch aptamer (THI element)
About the family: Vitamin B(1) in its active form thiamin pyrophosphate (TPP) is an essential coenzyme that is synthesised by coupling of pyrimidine and thiazole moieties in bacteria.
Source: RNAcentral
AUUGCUGGGGGAACUCAUAGUUGAGUUGAGAUAGGCUUUGCCUGACCCUUUGAACCUGUUGGUUAAUGCCUGCGUAGGGAAAGCUAUAA